Long non-coding RNA from Haliotis rufescens (red abalone), 1452 nucleotides. RefSeq lists it as uncharacterized. The transcript is spliced from 2 exons. The record is from RefSeq and is a predicted model, not a curated record. Lineage: Eukaryota; Metazoa; Mollusca; Gastropoda; Lepetellida; Haliotidae.
GCAUCAACCAAGUCAGCGAGCCUGACCACCCGAUCCCGUUAGUCGCCUCUUACGACAAGCAUAGUCACCUUUGACGGCAAGCAUGGGUUGCUGAAGACCUAUUCUACCCCGGAUCUUCACGGGUGUGGAACUCGGUAUACAGGAUCAGGGUGUUGUAACACAGGCACCUUGAGGUGGAUGCAGUGUGUGUGAGUGUCUGAUAUGUGUCACAUAUGUGUCUGAUGGCUCAGAUAUGUGUCUGAUAUAUGUGUCUGAUAUAUGUGUCAAAUGUGUGUCUCAUGUUUCGGACAUAUAUACUACUCAAAAGAAGUUAAAGAACACCCGGGUUUUUUCAUGUGACCAUAGUUAAUUUGUCAUGUCAUGUCAGAUUAACUAUAAUUAUGUGAAUAAAUCGGGUGUUUGUUAGCUUCUCUUCAGUAGUAUAUGGCCCAGAUAUGUCUUGGAUGUGUGUUAGUUAUAAUAUGUGUCUGAUAUGUCCCAGAUAUGUGUCUGAUAUGUCCCAGGUGUGUCUGAUAUGUGUCUGAUAUGUCCCAGGUGUGUCAGAUAUGUGUCUGAUAUGUCCCAGGUGUGUCUGAUAUGUGUCUGAUAUGUCCCAGGUGUGUCAGAUAUGUGUCUGAUAUGUCCCAGGUGUGUCUGAUAUGUGUCUGAUAUGUCCCAGGUGUGUCAGAUAUGUGUCUGAUAUGUCCCAGGUGUGUCUGAUAUGUGUCUGAUAUGUCCCAGGUGUGUCUGAUAUGUGUCUGAUAUGUCCCAGGUGUGUCAGAUAUGUCCCAGAUAUGUCCCAGAUAUGUGUCUGUUAUGUCCCAGAUAUGUGUCUGAUAUGUAUUCCAGAUAUGUGUCAAAUGUGUCAUAUGUCCCAGAUAUGUCUGAUUUGUCCCAGAUAUGUCAGAUGUGUCAUGUCCCAGAUGUGUCAAAUGUGUCAUAUUCUCAGAUAUGUGUCACAUGUGUCAGAUAUGUGCCAUAUCUGUCAGAUAUGAGUUAUAUGCCCCAUAUAUCUCUCAAAUGUGUGUUAUAUAUACCUUAGAUAUGGCACCUAAGAUAUAUAUCUCACAUGUCUCAUAUAUAUCUCGUAUAUAUCCCACAUAAGUCUCAGAUAUAUCUCAUUUAUAUCCCACAUGUAUCUGAGACAUGUGUAUGUGAGAUCUAUCACAUGUCUCAUAUAUAUCUGACAUGUGUCUCAGUCAUAUAUAUCUGACAUAUCUCUCAGAUAUAUAUCUCAUUUAUAUCUCACAUGUAUCUGAGACAUAUGUGAGAUCUAUCCCUCACAUGUGUCAGAUAUUUCCCAGCUAUGGACCAAGUAUGUCCCAGGCAUGUCUAACCAUUUUUAAACAAGGGCCAUGUUUGUUAUUUUCACCAGCUAGUUGUCACUGUCAAUCAUUGGAAGAUUAUGCAGUGAACUUUGACAUCAUUUAUCUUGUUUUAUGAUAAAAAAAUAAAUAAAAAAGUUAAAUUGUC